RNAcentral lists this ribosomal RNA (467 nucleotides) under uncultured bacterium. RNAcentral's name for it is "partial 16S ribosomal RNA". It matches the Rfam family "Bacterial small subunit ribosomal RNA", at positions 28 to 523 of the family's 1533-position model. The record is from RNAcentral.
GAUGAACGCUGGCGGCGUGCCUAACACAUGCAAGUCGAGCGAUUUACUUCGGUAAAGAGCGGCGGACGGGUGAGUAACGCGUGGGUAACCUGCCCUGUACACACGGAUAACAUACCGAAAGGUAUGCUAAUACGGGAUAAUAUGUUUUGAUCGCAUGAUCGAAAUAUCAAAGCUCCGGCGGUACAGGAUGGACCCGCGUCUGAUUAGCUAGUUGGUAGGUAACGGCUUACCAAGGCGACGAUCAGUAGCCGACCUGAGAGGGUGAUCGGCCACAUUGGAACUGAGACACGGUCCAAACUCCUACGGGAGGCAGCAGUGGGGAAUAUUGCACAAUGGGCGAAAGCCUGAUGCAGCAACGCCGCGUGAGCGAUGAAGGCCUGCGGGUCGUAAAGCUCUGUCCUCAAGGAAGAUAAUGACGGUACUUGAGGAGGAAGCCCCGGCUAACUACGUGCCAGCCGCCGCCGUAA